ACGAACGCUGGCGGCGUGCUUCACACAUGCAAGUCGCACGGAAAGGCCCUGCUUUUGUGGGGUGCUCGAGUGGCGAACGGGUGAGUAACACGUGAGUAACCUGCCCUUGACUUUGGGAUAACUUCAGGAAACUGGGGCUAAUACCGGGUAGGAGCUCCUGCUGCAUGGUGGGGGUUGGAAAGUUUCGGCGGUUGGGGAUGGACUCGCGGCUUAUCAGCUUGUUGGUGGGGUAGUGGCUUACCAAGGCUUUGACGGGUAGCCGGCCUGAGAGGGUGACCGGCCACAUUGGGACUGAGAUACGGCCCAGACUCCUACGGGAGGCAGCAGUGGGGAAUAUUGCACAAUGGGCGGAAGCCUGAUGCAGCAACGCCGCGUGCGGGAUGACGGCCUUCGGGUUGUAAACCGCUUUCGCCUGUGACGAAGCGUGAGUGACGGUAAUGGGUAAAGAAGCACCGGCUAACUACGUG
RNAcentral lists this ribosomal RNA (467 nucleotides) under uncultured bacterium. RNAcentral describes it as "partial 16S ribosomal RNA". It matches the Rfam family "Bacterial small subunit ribosomal RNA", at positions 29 to 507 of the family's 1533-position model. The record is from RNAcentral.